RNAcentral lists this long non-coding RNA (475 nucleotides) under Carica papaya (papaya). Its description in RNAcentral is "long non-coding RNA (CPAP_LNC000685)". The record is from RNAcentral. Lineage: Eukaryota; Viridiplantae; Streptophyta; Magnoliopsida; Brassicales; Caricaceae.
CUUGGUACAUUAUUAUUUAAUCAUUUACUAGAUCGAUUCUUUUGUGUCAAGUAUCAUUUCUUGUUGAAUUAUUUUGUUCUUCACUGUUCCUUAUUUAAUUGGCAAGAUAAUAAGAUUGGAAAAAGCAAACUACGGUUUUCUCUCUUUUCUUUUGUAGAGCAAGAGACACUCUCUGUUUCUCUUCACGACUAUAGCAGGCAACAUUCCGUCUCCUAACCAACCUCAGUUGAUUGGAGCAAACUCUUUAAUGAGAUUUUUGACCAAAGAAAGGAAGUCCUAUGACAUAGUAUUGGCUAGAAGGGUUGUUGAAUAUGUUAGUUUAAGUGAGAGUAGGAGGGGCUUCAAAUUGAUGAUAGUGUUUAUAGUAUGAUGUUAUAUUUCUUCUUCAAAUUGACGAUAGUGUUUUGAGUUGUUUGGAAGGAGAGAAAUGCUAGAGUUUUUGAAGGACUUGAGAGGAAGUUAGUUUAUAUUAGGG